AACAGUUAGUGGUGUCAAGGGACUAGUCAUUCAUUGCCCAGAAGGAAAAAAACAAAACAAAACAAAACACAAGAGUCUUUAAGGGUCCUUACUCUCAAGAAUGCUCUUCACUGUUUAAUACAGAGAGGAUUUGCUUUGUACUUCCGAAAAAAUAAGUAUGAAAGAUAUCGUCCCUUUCCAGCAUUUUGGAGUAGUAAAUAUCCAAAUGGAACAAAGUACUUCAGGCUUCUCUCUUGACCCUUUGCCAUCUUCCACACUGACACAUGUUCACAUGCUCUACAUAUUUAUUUUUUAAGGCCAUUUCCCAAGUCAGAAGGUCCUCCUUUUCCUCUUUUCCCAUCCCUCUUGCCACUCUGAUCAUGGAAAAUCAACUGUUAUGGUGGGACUGUCCUUUUUUCUUGUUUUCCCCUUUCCAGCUUCCCUGAUCUAAGAGGAAUGGAGGGGGAACCAGGGAAUCAAGGCCUCCUCAUUAGGUGACAGAUCAUGUGGGGACCAACCAGUGAGAGUCACGAACCAAAGGCUGUUUCUUGCCAUUUGUACCACACAUGUUAAGAUAACCUCUGUACUGCCAGGGCAAAAGCCAGCUGUGUAGUCUACUCAGUGAUUUUCUUCUGUGUGUGUUUGCUGGUAGGAUAGGAUUUAAUCCACAGAGUAAGAAACCAUGGAAAAAUUACAGAUUAUACAGUAUACAGCUUCCUAGAAGGAAGGUUUCAUCUUGCUCCCACCUGAUACUGUGGAGAAAAAUAACAAUUUAUGUCGGAGAACAAGAAUGCAGCCAGCCUGCCACAAAGGGUGCUAUUUAGUAGAAGUGAUCCUAUUUUAUACUUGAGAGUAGAGCAAAAAGGAAAAUAGUCACUAAUGCUUAUUUCUUCACAGAAACUGGACACAUCUGAUAAUGUCUUUGUGCUGUUUUGGGUUUUUUUUCUACCCCAGCACAGUAGGAGGCAAAUGCAUGCAGAUGCUCUAAUACUUCCACUUCUGUACUGUCCAAGUAGUCCAUGACCACUACUUUGCCUGUAUCAGAGGCCAGCAAAGCCAGGACAGUGAGCACAUACAGGGUGAAGCUACUGCUGGCAAGAGCCUAUUGCAUCUGGAGGAUGCUCAGUGAUCUCUUCUGGCCUUGCUGCAGCUCCAGCUCUCUUCCUGCAGCUCCUUUUUUCCUUCAGAAGAGCUAG
This 1175-nucleotide long non-coding RNA is filed under the name Parus major (Great Tit). RNAcentral describes it as "lncRNA (ENSPMJG00000014735.1)". Lineage: Eukaryota; Metazoa; Chordata; Aves; Passeriformes; Paridae. The record is from RNAcentral.